This 497-nucleotide ribosomal RNA is filed under the name uncultured bacterium. RNAcentral's name for it is "partial 16S ribosomal RNA". It matches the Rfam family "Bacterial small subunit ribosomal RNA", at positions 28 to 507 of the family's 1533-position model. The record is from RNAcentral.
GAUGAACGCUGGCGGCGUGCCUAAUACAUGCAAGUCGAGCGAACGGACGAGAAGCUUGCUUCUCUGAUGUUAGCGGCGGACGGGGGAGUAACACGUGGAUAACCUACCUAUAAGACUGGGAUAACUUCGGGAAACCGGAGCUAAUACCGGAUAAUAUUUUGAACCGCAUGGUUCAAAAGUUAAAGACGGUCUUGCUGUCACUUAUAGAUGGAUCCGCGCUGCAUUAGCUAGUUGGUAAGGUAACGGCUUACCAAGGCAACGAUGCAUAGCCGACCUGAGAGGGUGAUCGGCCACACUGGAACUGAGACACGGUCCAGACUCCUACGGGAGGCAGCAGUAGGGAAUCUUCCGCAAUGGGCGAAAGCCUGACGGAGCAACGCCGCGUGAGUGAUGAAGGUCUUCGGAUCGUAAAACUCUGUUAUUAGGGAAGAACAUAUGUGUAAGUAACUGUGCACAUCUUGACGGUACCUAAUCAGAAAGCCACGGCUAACUACGUG